Molecule: ribosomal RNA, 697 nt
Filed under: uncultured bacterium
Lineage: Bacteria
Description: bacterial SSU rRNA
Rfam family: Bacterial small subunit ribosomal RNA
Source: RNAcentral
UAACGCGUGGAUAACCUGCCGUAUACCGGGGGAUAACACUUAGAAAUAGGUGCUAAUACCGCAUAAGCGCACGGCUCCGCAUGGGGCAGUGUGAAAAACUCCGGUGGUAUACGAUGGAUCCGCGUCUGAUUAGCUAGUUGGCGGGGUAACGGCCCACCAAGGCGACGAUCAGUAGCCGGCCUGAGAGGGUGGACGGCCACAUUGGGACUGAGACACGGCCCAAACUCCUACGGGAGGCAGCAGUGGGGGAUAUUGGACAAUGGGGGGAACCCUGAUCCAGCGACGCCGCGUGAGUGAAGAAGUAUUUCGGUAUGUAAAGCUCUGUCAGCAGGGAAGAAAGAAAUGACGGUACCUGACCAAGAAGCCCCGGCUAACUACGUGCCAGCAGCCGCGGUAAUACGUAGGGGGCAAGCGUUAUCCGGAUUUACUGGGUGUAAAGGGAGCGUAGACGGCUAAUCAAGUCAGAAGUGAAAACCCAGGGCUCAACCUUGGGAGUGCUUUUGAAACUGAGUAGCUAGAGUGCAGGAGAGGUAAGCGGAAUUCCUAGUGUAGCGGUGAAAUGCGUAGAUAUUAGGAGGAACACCAGUGGCGAAGGCGGCUUACUGGACUGUAACUGACGUUGAGGCUCGAAAGCGUGGGGAGCAAACAGGAUUAGAUACCCUGGUAGUCCACGCCGUAAACGAUGAUUACUAGGUGU